GCCAGACUCCUACGGGAGGCAGCAGUGGGGGAUAUUGCACAAUGGGGGGAACCCUGAUGCAGCGACGCCGCGUGGGUGAAGGAGUAUUUCGGUAUGUAAAGCCCUAUCGGCAGGGAAGAAGCAAGACGGUACCUGACUAAGAAGCCCCGGCUAACUACGUGCCAGCAGCCGCGGUAAUACGUAGGGGGCGAGCGUUAUCCGGAUUCACUGGGUGUAAAGGGAGCGUAGACGGCCAAGCAAGCCAGGGGUGAAAGCCCGGGGCCCAACCCCGGGACUGCUUUGGAAACUGUAUGGCUGGAGUGCAGGAGAGGUAAGUGGAAUUCCUAGUGUAGCGGUGAAAUGCGUAGAUAUUAGGAGGAACACCAGUGGCGAAGGCGGCUUACUGGACUGUAACUGACGUUGAGGCUCGAAAGCGUGGGGAGCAAACAGGAUUAGAUACCCCCGUA
This 446-nucleotide ribosomal RNA is filed under the name uncultured bacterium. RNAcentral describes it as "partial 16S ribosomal RNA". It matches the Rfam family "Bacterial small subunit ribosomal RNA", at positions 330 to 792 of the family's 1533-position model. The record is from RNAcentral.